This is a long non-coding RNA of Doryrhamphus excisus (bluestripe pipefish), 379 nucleotides long. RefSeq lists it as uncharacterized. The record is from RefSeq and is a predicted model, not a curated record. NCBI's taxonomy places the organism in Eukaryota, Metazoa, Chordata, Actinopteri, Syngnathiformes, Syngnathidae.
UUUUCCUGGCUUUAGCUAUUGACGGGACCUCCAUGAGGGUCCAGUGCUGAAAGACAGCGUCAAUGCGAACCAGGGAGGCGGAGAGACCAUCAAUAGUGGCCGGUCACUGAGCGCUGUGCCCCAAAGGGAAAGAAAUGUCCAUUUGAUUCACCGCUGGAGAGGAGAAGAGAGCAGAGGAGAUACUUUAAUCUGCGGGAGGAACAACCUUGAUCUGUGCCAUGAAGCCAAAUAUCCAGAAGUGAAGAAAAAAGAAAUCCCUGGUGCACACCUGCUUUGGGGAUGUUCACUGCCAUUCAUCAGCUUGGUCCUAUUUCAACAUCCACGCGAGAGAAAAAGAGGAUUUAUCAUGAAUUAUACUCCAUCUAGGAGGAGAAAGUGU